AACGCGAAGAACCUUACCUGGGUUUGACAUACACCAGAAACGCGUAGAGAUACGUGCCCCCUUGUGGUUGGUGUACAGGUGGUGCAUGGCUGUCGUCAGCUCGUGUCGUGAGAUGUUGGGUUAAGUCCCGCAACGAGCGCAACCCUUAUCUUAUGUUGCCAGCGCGUCAUGGCGGGGACUCGUGAGAGACUGCCGGGGUCAACUCGGAGGAAGGUGGGGACGACGUCAAGUCAUCAUGCCCCUUAUGUCCAGGGCUUCACACAUGCUACAAUGGCCGGUACAGAGGGUUGCGAUAUCGUGAGGUGGAGCGAAUCCCUUAAAGCCGGUCUCAGUUCGGAUCGGGGUCUGCAACUCGACCCCGUGAAGUUGGAGUCGCUAGUAAUCGCAGAUCAGCAACGCUGCGGUGAAUACGUUCCCGGGCCUUGUACACACCGGUAUCUC
RNAcentral lists this ribosomal RNA (441 nucleotides) under uncultured bacterium. RNAcentral's name for it is "bacterial SSU rRNA". It matches the Rfam family "Bacterial small subunit ribosomal RNA", at positions 958 to 1400 of the family's 1533-position model. The record is from RNAcentral.